RNAcentral lists this ribosomal RNA (442 nucleotides) under uncultured bacterium. RNAcentral's name for it is "partial 16S ribosomal RNA". It matches the Rfam family "Bacterial small subunit ribosomal RNA", at positions 338 to 795 of the family's 1533-position model. The record is from RNAcentral.
CCUACGGGAGGCAGCAGUGGGGAAUAUUGGGCAAUGGGCGCAAGCCUGAACCAGCCACGCCGCGUGAAGGAAGAAUGCUUUCGGGUUGGAAACUUCUUUUGACAGGGAAGUAUAGUGGACGGUACCUGUCGAAUAAUCCACGGCUAACUACGUGCCAGCAGCCGCGGUAAUACGUAGGGGGCAAGCGUUAUCCGGAUUUAGUGGGUGUAAAGGGAGUGUAGACGGGUUGACAAGUCAGAUGUGAAAUUCUGCGGCUUAACCGGAGAAUUGCAAUUGAAACUGGUGAUCUUGAGUACAGGGGAGGCAGGCGGAAUUCCUAGUGUAGCGGUGAAAUGCGUAGAUAUUAGGAGGAACACCGGUGGCGAAGGCGGUCUACUGGACAGCCACUGACAGUGAGGCGCGAAAGUGUGGGGAGCAAACAGGAUUAGAUACCCUUGUAGUC